GCCCGGGUGGCGAAAUUGGUAGACGCACUACUUUCAGGUGGUAGCGUCCGCAAGGAUGUGCUGGUUCGAAUCCAGUCCCGGGCA
Molecule: transfer RNA, 84 nt
Filed under: Chitinophagaceae bacterium
Lineage: Bacteria; Pseudomonadati; Bacteroidota; Chitinophagia; Chitinophagales; Chitinophagaceae
Description: tRNA-Leu
Rfam family: tRNA
About the family: Transfer RNA (tRNA) molecules are approximately 80 nucleotides in length. Their secondary structure includes four short double-helical elements and three loops (D, anti-codon, and T loops).
Source: RNAcentral